UCUCUCGUCAUAGAUGUUUCUCUCUGUCCCCCUCUCUCUUCCUCUCUGAAAUGAAUAAAAAAAAAAAAAAAAAAUAUUGUAAGAUGUGAUGGUAGGAAAAACCUGAUAGUUAAGAAAUCUUAAUUUUAAAAGAUAUUAAUAUAUGCCAUCAGAUCUGUCCAUCUUUAUAUUUGGCACAGAUUUCUUAAAGAAUAUAUUAAAAAAAACUUUACUUUUGAGAAUCCCAGUGUGUUUUUAAGAUAGCUAUUUGUAAUUGAUAAUCUAUUGUGUUCAUAAUAGAUUUGGUGCACUAGACAAUGUGGUUAUUAUUUUUAAUCUUUAGACAUAAGUUUUCCAGAAAAUUUGAAAUAAAAUGCAGUUUUAGAAAAUAAUUUGUCUUCCCACAAAUUCUGGAUAUAUUAGUAUAAACUUUUGCUGGGGGGAAAAUGAUUUUUUUUUUUUUAAAUCCUCACCGGAGGAUAUUUUUCCAUUGAUUUUUAGAGAGGGGAAGAGAGGGAAACACGGAAAUAUUGAUGUGAGAGAAACACAUCUAUUGGUUGCCUCCUGCACGCACCCUAACCAGGGCCCCGGGCCAGAGAGGAUCAUGCAACUGAGGUACAUGCCCUUGACCGGAAUCGAACCCGGGACCUUUCGGCCCACAGGCCGACGCUCUAUUCACUGAGCCAAACCAGUUUCAGCACCUGUAUUGUUUUAGAUAAAUUUCUAUAAAUUACUAAUAACUUUUUAUAACUUAAUUCAGGGGAGGGCCAGGUAUGAGCUGUUAAUAUGGGUAAAAAUUCUGCACAAAAGGCUAAGGCACGAUGAGCCUGUCAUUCUGGGUAUUACACUUGUCUGUUUUCUAUGUUUUUUUUGAUCCAAAGAUGUUUUGCAAAUAAUAACCUCAUAACUUAUUCCUAUUUUGAGUUUUCUCUGUUUGUUUGUGGUUUUGAGAUUAGAACAAAAAUGGGUUCUCUCAAUGUUUGAUACUUUGCGAUUAAAUAUUCUUGUUAUGGUAGGCUUUCCUGCUGAUUCUUCCCCCCUCCUCUUAUUUUAGGUUCCUUUCUCCAAAUUUAGUUCUUGUUCAUUCUUGAGACUUGGAAACCUUUUGCCUCACUACUUAAAUGGGUAUUUUUAAAUUCCAAGUUAAUUAUUUGUAUAAUAAAUGUGCAUAGUAAAAGAAUUGAAGAAAAUAGUCUGUUGUCUUAACCAUAUGAGAACACUGGUUUCUGUGGAUAUUACAUAUUUGAAGUGAAUAUAUCCUUUUAGGUAUCUGACUAUCCUCUUCUCUGUGUUUCUGCUUAAAUUAACCAGCUUUAAGUCCAAUGUUCUUUACUUACUUUUUUCAACCUUAAUUAUUUUGAAGAUGUGAUUCUUGUUUUUUGUGACACACACACCAAAGAAAGGGAAAUAAUUUUGGACUCGCUAAGACCUGUUUAAGAGCAUAGAACUAAGUGUGCUUCUUGUGAAAUUAGAUUACUGAAAGCAUAGAGCCUCUAUAGAGUGGUUUGGACAUAAGGGAGUACAAACCCUUGGGUAAUUUUCACUCUUAGGAGAAGUUAGGGAUAGCCUCUUAGAAAGGGGUGACAUGCAAGUCUGUUUGACACCUCGUCUGAGCCUUUGCAAUGCUUUAGGCCCUGAAUCAAGACCAGUGGUUUUUUUGUAGUUGUUGGUUUCAAACAGGAGCCAAGAGCAAUGCCUUCCUGUGGUUUGUUGGCCAUUCAGGACCCAGUGGGAAUAGCCAAUUCAAUUGGAAGAAACAUAGUCUGUAAAUAUAAUAUUUUUUUAUGUUUGUUUACAUUUAGUUGUUAGGUUUAAGAAUCAGGAACUCAAUAAUUCUGUGGGGAUAAGGACUUAACCAAAAUAGUAUUUUGUAGCUGUUAAGAGAGACUUUGAGUUUCUUUACUUAUUCAUUUCUCUUUUCUCCCUUCCCUCUUUUGCUCACUGACUUGCUUUGUGGUUGUGAGGACAUUAAUAAAACAAUCUCAUAUUACCCAAUAUUUUAAGGCAGUAUUUCAGUUUAAUUUUUAAUUAGACUGAUUGAAAAAUACUCCUU
Molecule: long non-coding RNA, 2032 nt
Organism: Pipistrellus kuhlii (Kuhl's pipistrelle)
Lineage: Eukaryota; Metazoa; Chordata; Mammalia; Chiroptera; Vespertilionidae
Exons: 3
Source: RefSeq, a predicted model, not a curated record